RNAcentral lists this ribosomal RNA (490 nucleotides) under uncultured bacterium. RNAcentral's name for it is "partial 16S ribosomal RNA". It matches the Rfam family "Bacterial small subunit ribosomal RNA", at positions 28 to 507 of the family's 1533-position model. The record is from RNAcentral.
GAUGAACGCUAGCGAUAGGCUUAACACAUGCAAGUCGAGGGGCAGCAUGGUCUUAGCUUGCUAAGACUGAUGGCGACCGGCGCACGGGUGCGUAACGCGUAUGCAACUUGCCUCACAGAGGGGGAUAACCCGUCGAAAGACGGACUAAUACCGCGUACACUCCAUCUUGGGCAUCCAAGGUAGAGGAAAUGAAAUUCGCUGUGAGAUAGGCAUGCGUCCCAUUAGCUAGUUGGUGAGGUAACGGCUCACCAAGGCGACGAUGGGUAGGGGAACUGAGAGGUUGAACCCCCACACUGGUACUGAGACACGGCCCAGACUCCUACGGGAGGCAGCAGUGAGGAAUAUUGGUCAAUGGGCGAGAGCCUGAACCAGCCAAGUCGCGUGAAGGAUGACUGUCUUAUGGAUUGUAAACUUCUUUUAGACGGGAAUAACAAGAGUCACGUGUGACUCCCUGCAUGUACCGCAUGAAUAAGCAUCGGCUAACUCCGUG